AGAUCAGAAACUCAUAAGACAGCAUUAAAAAGUACUAUACAGGAGGAGAUGGAAUAAGAUGGCCAAAUAGAAGCCUCUGGCAAUCAUCUCCCCCAAAGGAAUUGAACAACUAUCGAAACAAAAUUGAACAACUCUCUAAACAAAAAAAGUACCUUCAUAAAAAACAAAAAUCAGGACAAUAUCAGAAUGGCACAUACCGGUGUCCCCAAGUCAUAUUUGGAAUAAGAUCACUUGGGAACACAUGUCAAAGAAGGACACAGUGUUCUGCCUCUCCUGAGUAAGCAGCAACAAGGCACAAUCUUGGAAUCAGAGGGCAGCCCUCACCAGACAACUAAAUCUGCAGACACCUUGAUCUUGGACUUCCCAGCCUCCAGAACUGUCUUUCUGGCAACUGUCUAAACAUAAACCAGGGAAGGGCAAGGCAGACUCAGGAAGGACAAAUAGAAGGCUAUUUCCAUAAAUCAGACAUAUGAAGGAGGGUCUUUUCAUAUUAAAUUGUUUUCCUGGCAGCACCUGAACCAAAGGAUAAGACUUCAAAUAAGUCUUUUUCCAAUGUUAUGCUGAAACUGGAUUCAACAUUUCUCAUAAAACUUCUAAGUCAAACAGUGAUGAGAAACUACUGCCUAAAAGUUGAUAUUAUGGAUUCCCAUAAGGAUUCAUGUCUCCUAUUCACUUUAAUGAACAGUUGUUGGGCAACAAUUCUAGAAGAGUUCCAACUCUCAUCAGGAGUAUGGACAAGGUGGAGAAGCAGAGAAAAUGCAAUGAGUAGAAUGUCUAAGUCAUCACUUUGGAAUUGACUGAACAUAAAUAAAAAUGAGAAAGAUACGUAAAAAAGAAGGGAAUGGUUGCCACAGCCCCCAUUUUGCAAACGAGGCAGCUGAGGUUCCCAGAGGCUCAAUACCAGCACCAUGGGCCGAAGCACGCAGGGCAAACACAGCCGGAGGAUUUUAAUGCCUUUUGUAAAGACCUGCCUAAUGGUUCUGCCUUCAGUGCAGACAAUAU
This 1002-nucleotide small RNA is filed under the name Pongo abelii (Sumatran orangutan). RNAcentral's name for it is "processed transcript". The record is from RNAcentral. Lineage: Eukaryota; Metazoa; Chordata; Mammalia; Primates; Hominidae.